GUGUUUGAAGCCAUGGUUUGCUUGGGACAUGAAGCUCUUGGGACGUAUGAAAGCCCAAUUCUCUCAUCUUUCCAACCCGGGUUCAAUACCAACAUGAACCUUCAGAACUUGCUAAGGAUAUUCAUGGAUCUAAACACACGACCUUCAGCGAAUCCUCACGUACGAACGACAUACCAGAUUCUGCGCAAGCUCCGGGUAAUCGCUCCCCUUUGUUUAUGCGCUUCCGUUUUCCUUCGCUUCUUACCUUUUCUCUUCUUUUUUAGUUUUUCUUGUUCUUCUUCUCUGAGUGUUAUCGUUGAAAGGUGGAGGGUUAAAGGUUGUGUUUCGGCUGAAGAGUGAAGCUGAUGGUGAGUGAGGGUGUUCUUGAAUUUUCGUUUUUUGCAGGUUUCUGAAAUUGGUUAAGGGAGUGGUUGUAGUUGGUUAGGAAUUGUUGAACAUUCGAAGUUCUAGACGUUCGAGUGUGAAGAAGUUGAAGUUAUGAAGGUUGAGGGUGAGUGAUGAAGAUGAAGAUCAUUCUCAGUGGUUGUGGAGGGUGUUGCAGAGUGAAGUUUUUGGGUUCUAUUAUGAUGAAGUUCGGGUGGUGGAGGAAGUUGGGGGGAAUUUUUUGAAUUAGAAGGGGUUUGUUGAAUGAAGAGGAGGUUCAUAAUUGAAGUUCCCAAUGGUUCAUUCUGUUCUGACAGUUUUGUUAGGAGGGAAUUGUGAGGUAGUUGCGAAUUCUGUUAGGGUAGUUCUGGAUUAGUUAUUUUGCAGAUCCCUAGGCUAAGUUAGUUAGGUUUUUCUGAGUUAAAUUUUGUGAAUGUUAGGUUUUGUCCAGUAAUGUGGUUUAGUGAAUGGUUAAGUUCAGAUUGUGUUGGCUGAAUUUGACCCUGAUGCAUUGUAGGUGUUUCAUGGUUUUUUUCCUUUGUGUUUUAUAGUGUAGAAUGUGUAUUAUGACUUUGUAAUGCAGGUUUGUUGGUAAUGAAGUGGUAGGUCUUGGUUUAUGGUUAAAAAUUGGCCAAUGUUUGGAUGGUUUCUGCAGCAUGACCUCAUGGUCCAUUGGCUUGUGUACAAGUAUGAAUCAGGCGGGGCUUCCCUUAUUAUCUACCUAUGGCAUGGUUUGGCAGCACAUGGUCGUGCACACAUGAGGUGAAUUAUGUACAAGGCCUGCAAAGAUGAAAGACAUCAAGUUUGAAAUUUGAAAUAUCCAUAACAAAUGGAAAAUAUCAAGUAGGAAUUUGGGAGGUUAUGAAUAGGAUUUAGGACUUUGGGUUGUAAAAUGAUUAAGUUGACUUUGGUCAAAGUUGAGCAAAAAGUCAAAUAUUGACCAAAGUCAACAUUUGGUCAAAGUUCAUUUUUUGUAAUUUUUUCUCAUGGAAUGGACAAUAUAAUGGAUUGUAAAUGGUUAUUUGAAUGAAUUUGAAAGGUUUUGAAAUUGAA
This is a long non-coding RNA of Lathyrus oleraceus (garden pea), 1416 nucleotides long. RefSeq lists it as uncharacterized. The record is from RefSeq and is a predicted model, not a curated record. Lineage: Eukaryota; Viridiplantae; Streptophyta; Magnoliopsida; Fabales; Fabaceae. The transcript has 2 exons.